UUCGUACCUGCAUCGGGCCUCCGCCUGUGCCGCGUCGCUGCGCUGUUAUCCGUCCCUCGCAUCCUUCCCGCUUCCAUAGCCCCCGAACCCUAGCCGGUUGCGCCUCCGCAAAAGAGGAAUCGGUGGUGGUGGAGAGGAUUGGUCGAACCCCGGAAGUCCAAGACCUGCGACUGAUUUUGCGGCGCAUCAGCACCAGGCGAUGGUGGGUAUCCUGUACGUGCCGGUGGAUCUACAUAAUGUGUCGGCGCAGGGCUGACACUGCAGCCAGGUGACGUCGCUACCGCCGCCGAGCACCAUGUAGAGCUGCCGCGCGAGCCGGCCCACUCCGACACGCGAGAAGUACUCACCGCUCCCUGCCCGACGGCGGACACCACGGCCCCUGUGUCUCUGUUGCCAACGCCUCGAAGACCGGCGUGGUCUUGGCCGGCUUCAGAUCGGCGGCCCGGGGAUUCGCUGUGUAGGCGGGCGAGCACGUGGGACCUGUAUCUCUGGUGCCGGCCCUGCUCCUCCGGGAGGAAGUCCCUGGAGUCGAGCCGCAGGGUGAGCCCGCUCUGGUGAAGGAGUGGGUCGAGGAGAACGACCUGGUGAAGGAGUUAAUCGCUGGUGAACGACGUGCUUAAUCUUGAACAUCAGAUUGCUUUCAACUUGAUCAACCUCUGCCCUUUUAUUCGUGGAAGAAGCAGCCCGUGAGGACGACCUGUUCUCCUUUUCAAUCUGGUGCGUAAGUCUGAAGUUUCUCUUUCUCAUGCCAUGUUCCCAUGAAUAGCUCCCUAGAACUGACAGAAUCCUGAUCACAAGACUGCUUCAACUUGAUCAAGCUUUCCCUUUUAUAAGAAGAAGAAUCAGCCGGGGUUGUAUUUUGUCUACUGAGAUGGAAGAAGAGGCUAACACAUCGUACCAUCGUACCAUGCCAACAUGAGAUGGGUGUGCAGGUCGUCGAUGUGGGGUUGCUGCGCGCGUAUGCCGAGGUGUUCAUCACGGGCGACGACUCGAGGGGGCCGACGAACAGGACGCCCUUGGACCGGCAUGGCGGGGAGGCCAUGUAGCACGUGUUGCUCUGAUUGCCCUGUAUCCUGGACGCCGCCGACCACAAGGGCUCCAGCUGCACGUGUUUCCCGGCCGCCUCCAACCAGAGGGGGCUCUUGCGACGUGUUGCUUUGUAUCCCGGCCACUGCGGACAGUGAGGGCUCCCUUUGCACGUGUUGCUUUGUAUCCCGGCCACCGUUGACCACUCGGGCUCCGGCUUCACGUGUUGCUCUGCGUCCACCGCUUCUUUGGCGAGCUAAUGGCGACGACGAGGACGCGCCUUGAGCUCCUUGAGCUCGUUCUACCGCGAUGAAGAACUUUUUUUUUUGAGAGGUAGAAUGGGAAUUCUAGGGGAACGAGGAGAUUAUUGAAAUUAGGAGGUCAUCAUGGUUGCAAAUACCUUCGUUGCUCUGGACCUUGUCAUGGAAGGAUUAACACUAAAUGACCAUAAAUGAACUACACUGGCUAGGACCUUCAGAUUAUGAGGGCGAGGAUGUCUUAUUGAUGCAACUUGAUGGUUUGUUUCUGUGUGAACUAGCAAUCUUUUGUUUCUUAGAUGCGCAAACUUGUAUCUCAAAAGAAAAAAGACUAGCAAUGUUUUCAAACUUGUAUCCCAGAACUAUGAUGAAUUAUGUCAUUUGAUGAGCUUCUGUGGAAACUACUAA
This is a long non-coding RNA of Aegilops tauschii subsp. strangulata, 1691 nucleotides long. RefSeq lists it as uncharacterized. The record is from RefSeq and is a predicted model, not a curated record. Lineage: Eukaryota; Viridiplantae; Streptophyta; Magnoliopsida; Poales; Poaceae.